RNAcentral lists this ribosomal RNA (245 nucleotides) under uncultured bacterium. RNAcentral's name for it is "partial 16S ribosomal RNA". It matches the Rfam family "Bacterial small subunit ribosomal RNA", at positions 524 to 769 of the family's 1533-position model. The record is from RNAcentral.
UACGUAGGGUGCAAGCGUUAAUCGGAAUUACUGGGCGUAAAGCGUGCGCAGGCGGUGAUGUAAGACAGAUGUGAAAUCCCCGGGCUCAACCUGGGAACUGCAUUUGUGACUGCAUCGCUGGAGUACGGCAGAGGGGGAUGGAAUUCCGCGUGUAGCAGUGAAAUGCGUAGAUAUGCGGAGGAACACCGAUGGCGAAGGCAAUCCCCUGGCCUGUACUGACGCUCAUGCACGAAAGCGUGGGGAGC